UUAAGCGACUAAGCGUACACGGUGGAUGCCCUGGCAGUCAGAGGCGAUGAAGGACGUGCUAAUCUGCGAAAAGCGUCGGUAAGGUGAUAUGAACCGUUAUAACCGGCGAUGUCCGAAUGGGGAAACCCAGUGCAAUUCGUUGCACUAUCGUUAACUGAAUACAUAGGUUAACGAGGCGAACCGGGGGAACUGAAACAUCUAAGUACCCCGAGGAAAAGAAAUCAACCGAGAUUCCCCCAGUAGCGGCGAGCGAACGGGGAGCAGCCCAGAGUCUGAAUCAGCUUGUGUGUUAGUGGAACGGUCUGGAAAGUCCGACGGUACAGGGUGAUAGUCCCGUACACCAAAAUGCACAGGUUGUGAACUCGAAGAGUAGGGCGGGACACGUGGUAUCCUGUCUGAAUAUGGGGGGACCAUCCUCCAAGGCUAAAUACUCCUGACUGACCGAUAGUGAACCAGUACCGUGAGGGAAAGGCGAAAAGAACCCCGGCGAGGGGAGUGAAAAAGAACCUGAAACCGUGUACGUACAAGCAGUGGGAGCACCUUCGGGUGUGACUGCGUACCUUUUGUAUAAUGGGUCAGCGACUUAUAUUCUGUAGCAAGGUUAACCGUAUAGGGGAGCCGCAGGGAAACCGAGUCUUAACUGGGCGUUAAGUUGCAGGGUAUAGACCCGAAACCCGGUGAUCUAGCCAUGGGCAGGUUGAAGGUUGGGUAACACUAACUGGAGGACCGAACCGACUAAUGUUGAAAAAUUAGCGGAUGACUUGUGGCUGGGGGUGAAAGGCCAAUCAAACCGGGAGAUAGCUGGUUCUCCCCGAAAGCUAUUUAGGUAGCGCCUCGUGAACUCAUCUUCGGGGGUAGAGCACUGUUUCGGCUAGGGGGUCAUCCCGACUUACCAACCCGAUGCAAACUACGAAUACCGAAGAAUGUUAUCACGGGAGACACACGGCGGGUGCUAACGUCCGUCGUGAAGAGGGAAACAACCCAGACCGCCAGCUAAGGUCCCAAAGUCAUGGUUAAGUGGGAAACGAUGUGGGAAGGCACAGACAGCCAGGAUGUUGGCUUAGAAGCAGCCAUCAUUUAAAGAAAGCGUAAUAGCUCACUGGUCGAGUCGGCCUGCGCGGAAGAUGUAACGGGGCUAAACCAUGCACCGAAGCUGCGGCAGCGACACUAUGUGUUGUUGGGUAGGGGAGCGUUCUGUAAGCCUGCGAAGGUGUGCUGUGAGGGUUGCUGGAGGUAUCAGAAGUGCGAAUGCUGACAUAAGUAACGAUAAAGCGGGUGAAAAGCCCGCUCGCCGGAAGACCAAGGGUUCCUGUCCAACGUUAAUCGGGGCAGGGUGAGUCGACCCCUAAGGCGAGGCCGAAAGGCGUAGUCGAUGGGAAACAGGUUAAUAUUCCUGUACUUGGUGUUACUGCGAAGGGGGGACGGAGAAGGCUAUGUUAGCCGGGCGACGGUUGUCCCGGUUUAAGCAUGUAGGCUGGUUGUCCAGGCAAAUCCGGAUAAUCAAGGCUGAGGUGUGAUGACGAGGCACUACGGUGCUGAAGUAACAAAUGCCCUGCUUCCAGGAAAAGCCUCUAAGCAUCAGGUAACAUCAAAUCGUACCCCAAACCGACACAGGUGGUCAGGUAGAGAAUACCAAGGCGCUUGAGAGAACUCGGGUGAAGGAACUAGGCAAAAUGGUGCCGUAACUUCGGGAGAAGGCACGCUGGUGUGUAGGUGAAGUCCCUGCGGAUGGAGCUGAGACCAGUCGAAGAUACCAGCUGGCUGCAACUGUUUAUUAAAAACACAGCACUGUGCAAACACGAAAGUGGACGUAUACGGUGUGACGCCUGCCCGGUGCCGGAAGGUUAAUUGAUGGGGUUAUCCGUAAGGAGAAGCUCUUGAUCGAAGCCCCGGUAAACGGCGGCCGUAACUAUAACGGUCCUAAGGUAGCGAAAUUCCUUGUCGGGUAAGUUCCGACCUGCACGAAUGGCGUAAUGAUGGCCAGGCUGUCUCCACCCGAGACUCAGUGAAAUUGAACUCGCUGUGAAGAUGCAGUGUACCCGCGGCAAGACGGAAAGACCCCGUGAACCUUUACUAUAGCUUGACACUGAACAUUGAGCCUUGAUGUGUAGGAUAGGUGGGAGGCUUUGAAGCGUGGACGCCAGUCUGCGUGGAGCCAACCUUGAAAUACCACCCUUUAAUGUUUGAUGUUCUAACGUUGGCCCCUGACCGGGGUUGCGGACAGUGUCUGGUGGGUAGUUUGACUGGGGCGGUCUCCUCCCAAAGCGUAACGGAGGAGCACGAAGGUUAGCUAAUCCUGGUCGGACAUCAGGAGGUUAGUGCAAUGGCAUAAGCUAGCUUGACUGCGAGCGUGACGGCGCGAGCAGGUGCGAAAGCAGGUCAUAGUGAUCCGGUGGUUCUGAAUGGAAGGGCCAUCGCUCAACGGAUAAAAGGUACUCCGGGGAUAACAGGCUGAUACCGCCCAAGAGUUCAUAUCGACGGCGGUGUUUGGCACCUCGAUGUCGGCUCAUCACAUCCUGGGGCUGAAGUAGGUCCCAAGGGUAUGGCUGUUCGCCAUUUAAAGUGGUACGCGAGCUGGGUUUAGAACGUCGUGAGACAGUUCGGUCCCUAUCUGCCGUGGGCGCUGGAGAAUUGAGGGGGGCUGCUCCUAGUACGAGAGGACCGGAGUGGACGCAUCACUGGUGUUCGGGUUGUCAUGCCAAUGGCACUGCCCGGUAGCUAAAUGCGGAAGAGAUAAGUGCUGAAAGCAUCUAAGCACGAAACUUGCCCCGAGAUGAGUUCUCCCUGAGACUUUAAGUCUCCUGAAGGAACGUUGAAGACGACGACGUUGAUAGGCCGGGUGUGUAAGCGCAGCGAUGCGUUGAGCUAACCGGUACUAAUGAACCGUGAGGCUUAACCUU
This 2900-nucleotide ribosomal RNA is filed under the name Klebsiella pneumoniae BIDMC 47. Its description in RNAcentral is "bacterial LSU rRNA". It matches the Rfam family "Bacterial large subunit ribosomal RNA". The record is from RNAcentral. Lineage: Bacteria; Pseudomonadati; Pseudomonadota; Gammaproteobacteria; Enterobacterales; Enterobacteriaceae.